UACGGGGGGAGCAAGCGUUGUUCGGAUUUACUGGGCGUAAAGGGCGCGUAGGCGGUCAGCACAAGUCAGUUGUGAAAUCUCCGGGCUUAACCCGGAAAGGUCAACUGAUACUGUGCGACUAGAGUGCGGAAGGGGCAACUGGAAUUCUCGGUGUAGCGGUGAAAUGCGUAGAUAUCAGGAGGAACACCAAUGGCGAAGGCAGCUCGCUGGGACGGUACUGACGCUGAGGCGCGAAAGCGUGGGGAGCAAACAGG
This 254-nucleotide ribosomal RNA is filed under the name uncultured bacterium. RNAcentral describes it as "partial 16S ribosomal RNA". It matches the Rfam family "Bacterial small subunit ribosomal RNA", at positions 524 to 776 of the family's 1533-position model. The record is from RNAcentral.